UACGAAGGGGGCUAGCGUUGCUCGGAAUCACUGGGCGUAAAGCGCACGUAGGCGGGUCGUUAAGUCAGGGGUGAAAUCCUGGAGCUCAACUCCAGAACUGCCCUUGAUACUGGCGAUCUCGAGUUCGGGAGAGGUGAGUGGAAUUCCCAGUGUAGAGGUGAAAUUCGUAGAUAUUGGGAAGAACACCGGUGGCGAAGGCGGCUCACUGGCUCAUUUCUGACGCUCAGGCGCGACAGCGUGGGGAUCAAACAGG
Molecule: ribosomal RNA, 253 nt
Filed under: uncultured bacterium
Lineage: Bacteria
Description: partial 16S ribosomal RNA
Rfam family: Bacterial small subunit ribosomal RNA
Source: RNAcentral